UGACAGGAUGCGAAUCUCGAAAGCCGGUCUCAGUUCGGAUUGCAGGCUGGAACUCGCCUGCAUGAAGUUGGAUUCGCUAGUAAUCGCGGAUCAGCAUGCCGCGGUGAAUACGUUCCCGGGCCUUGUACACACCGCCCGUCACACCAUGAGAGCCGGGAACACCCGAAGUCCGUAGUCUAACCAUUAAGGAGGACGCGGCCGAAGGUGGGUUUGGUAAUUGGGGUGAAGUCGUAACAAGGUAAC
RNAcentral lists this ribosomal RNA (243 nucleotides) under uncultured bacterium. RNAcentral describes it as "partial 16S ribosomal RNA". It matches the Rfam family "Bacterial small subunit ribosomal RNA", at positions 1258 to 1500 of the family's 1533-position model. The record is from RNAcentral.